This 1070-nucleotide long non-coding RNA is filed under the name Strigops habroptila (Kakapo). RNAcentral describes it as "lncRNA (ENSSHBG00005001955.1)". Lineage: Eukaryota; Metazoa; Chordata; Aves; Psittaciformes; Psittacidae. The record is from RNAcentral.
GAUGAGAAUUUGUCUGGGGUUACAGCAUGGGCUGGUAGCAGAGUAAGGGCCACAUAUGUGACUCUUGCCCCUCCUCAGCUCUCCUCUUCUUGCUGCUUAUUGGGAUAAUGACUUAGUUAAUGAGUUGUUCUUGUUCAUUUGAAGGGAGAACCGGGUCCACCAGGCAAAGGAGUGGAAAUGGAGGAUCUAGAGAGGCUUUUUGAAGCAAAUGGUAUCAAGAAUGGGCUGGAUGGCCUCAUGUGGCAGCUCGGUGGCUCCAGGACAAGCCAGACCUCCAGGAGAAAGCAGGCAGCUCUGCAUAUCACUGAGCACAGUGGUCCAUCUGCUGGUGGUUCUGAACCUGAGUACCUGUCCCUAGGGGACCCUCCUGAGUCCUUGGAGAAAACAUCUGAGGAAAGAAGGAAGGAGACAGACUCAAAAGGGGCAAACAGUUCUCUCAGCGGUGGCUUGGCUGUGCCCCCACCAGACCCAGAAGAUGAUCUACAAGGAAGCCAGUCCAUGGGGCUUCAGGAGUCCUUGGAGGACAGGGUGGAAGGACAACCAGAGCAGGACACCAGCCAUGAAAAUGUGAAUUCAGAUGAAGGCUCUGCACUCCUAAGGCAUGUUAGAGCCAGGAGAUCUGCUGAGCACAAGGCACACAAGGUAAGCACCCCAUUUCACUGCAGCAGCUUUGGGCUUGCCUAUGUGCCAUCAGUGUGAUCCAGGAGGAAUUGGUGACCUUUCCUUGUUGUCACAGGUUCAUCCCCCUGGUGCCCCAGGAGCUCGGAAAUCCCUGCCUGGAUCUGCGGUGAGCGAAGACUCCAUACAAUGCAUACAAGGGGAAUGCUGAUUGCCCACUUGUGCAAAGUCACAGUGAAUGUAGAGAGUCAGGUGAAAAGUUAGUGAUAAAUAUGAAUAAAUAAAGGAAGAAAGAGCUGCUGCAGAAGCAUCUUUCUUGGCAGAGCAGAUUGUUCUCCCUGUAUCUGGCAAGGGGCUUGGAAACAGAAGCGGGGAAAAUCAAACUCAAUCAAUCAAUGAGAGAACAUAGUAACUUGGUUCAUGGGGAAGGCAGCAUAAGUGAAGGGUAUUUU